GACGAACGCUGGCGGCGUGCUUAACACAGGCAAGUCGAACGGAAAGGGCCUGCGUUUUUGUGUUGCUCGAGUGGCGAACGGGUGUGUAACACGGGAGUAUCCUGCCCUUGACAUUGGGAUAACUUCAGGAAACUGGGGCUAAUACCGGACAGGAGCUCCUGCUGCAGGGUGGGGGAUGGAAAGUUUCGGCGGGUGGGGAUGGACGCGCGGCUGAUCAGCCUGUGGGGGGGGUAGUGGCUAACCAAGGCUUUCACGGGUAGCCGGCCUGAGGGGGUGCCCGGCCACACUGGGACUGCGAUACGGCCCCGGCUCCUACGCGCGGCCGCAGUGGUGAAUAUUGCCCCAUGGGCGGAGCCCUGAUGCAGCAGCGCCGCGUGCGGGCUGACGGCCGUCGGGUUGUCCCCCGGUGUAGCGUGGGGCGACGCGUGCGUGCCGCUGCUGGGUCUAGAAGCACCGGCUCACUUCGUC
Molecule: ribosomal RNA, 468 nt
Filed under: uncultured bacterium
Lineage: Bacteria
Description: partial 16S ribosomal RNA
Rfam family: Bacterial small subunit ribosomal RNA
Source: RNAcentral